GGCGUGUACUGCUUGGCUGGGCCUUACUUCUUGGUGAGCCGGCGUGCCCUUUAUUGGUGUGCGUCGGGGAACCAGGACUUUUUACCUUGAGAAAAUUAGAGUGUCAAAGCAGGCCUAUGCCUGAAUACAUAAGCAUGGAAUAUUAGAAUAGGACGUGCGGUUCUAUUUUGUUGGUUUCUAGAAGUCGCCGUAAUGAUUAUAGGGACAGUUGGGGGCAUUGGUAUUGAGUCGCUAGAGGUGAAAUUCUUGGAUUGACUCAAGACCGACUAUUGCGAAAGCAUUUGCCAAGGAUGUUUUCAUUAAUCAAGAACGAAAGUUAGAGGUUCGAAGGCGAUCAGAUACCGCCCUAGUUCUAACCAUAAACGAUGCCAGCUAGCGAUCCGCCGAAGUUCCUCCGAUGACUCGGCGGGCAGCUUCCGGGAAACCAAAGCUUUUGGGUUCCGGGGGAAGUAUGGUUGCAAAGCUGAAACUUAAAGGAAUUGACGGAAGGGCACCACCAGGAGUGGAGCCUGCGGCUUAAUUUGACUCAACACGGGAAACCUCACCAGGCCCAGACACCGGAAGGAUUGACAGAUUGAUAGCUCUUUCUUGAUUCGGUGGGUGGUGGUGCAUGGCCGUUCUUAGUUGGUGGAGCGAUUUGUCUGGUUAAUUCCGAUAACGAACGAGACUCUAGCCUGCUAAAUAGGCGUACCUUAUGGUAUCGCGAAGGCCCCCGGCUUCGGCCGGUGGGUUUUUACUACCAACGUACAAACAAAU
Molecule: ribosomal RNA, 756 nt
Filed under: uncultured eukaryote
Lineage: Eukaryota
Description: bacterial SSU rRNA
Rfam family: Eukaryotic small subunit ribosomal RNA
Source: RNAcentral